RNAcentral lists this ribosomal RNA (253 nucleotides) under uncultured bacterium. RNAcentral describes it as "partial 16S ribosomal RNA". It matches the Rfam family "Bacterial small subunit ribosomal RNA", at positions 524 to 776 of the family's 1533-position model. The record is from RNAcentral.
UACAGAGGUCUCAACCGUGGUUCGGAUUCAUUGGGCGUAAAGGGUGCGUCGGCGGUGUGGCAAGUCGGGAGUGAAAUCUCUGGGCUCAACUCAGAGACUGCUUCCGAAACUGCUGUGCUGGAGUGUGGGAGAGGCGCGUGGAAUUGCAGGUGUAGCGGUGAAAUGCGUAGAUAUCUGCAGGAACACCCGUGGCGAAAGCGGCGCGCUGGACCACUACUGACGCUGAGGAACGAAAGCUAGGGGAGCAAACAGG